GAGUUUGAUCAUGGCUCAGAUUGAACGCUGGCGGCAGGCCUAACACAUGCAAGUCGAACGGUAACAGGAAACAGCUUGCUGUUUCGCUGACGAGUGGCGGACGGGUGAGUAAUGUCUGGGAAACUGCCUGAUGGGGGGGGAUAACUACUGGAAACGGUAGCUAAUACCGCAUAACGUCGCAAGACCAAAGAGGGGGACCCUCGGGCCUCUUGCCAUCGGAUGUGCCCAGAUGGGAUUAGCUUGUUGGUGGGGUAACGGCUCACCAAGGCGACGAUCCCUAGCUGGUCUGAGAGGAUGACCAGCCACACUGGAACUGAGACACGGUCCAGACUCCUACGGGAGGCAGCAGUGGGGAAUAUUGCACAAUGGCGCAAGCCUGAUGCAGCCAUGCCGCGUGUAUGAAGAAGGCCUUCGGGUUGUAAAGUACUUUCAGCGGGGAGGAAGGGAGUAAAGUUAAUACCUUUGCUCAUUGACGUUACCCGCAGAAGAAGCACCGGCUAACUCCGUGCCGGCAGCCGCGGUAAUACGGAGGGUGCAAGCGUUAAUCGGAAUUACUGGGCGUAAAGCGCACGCAGGCGGUUUGCUAAGUCAGAUGUGAAAUCCCCGGGCUCAACCUGGGAACUGCAUCUGAUACUGGCAAGCUUGAGUCUCGUAGAGGGGGGUAGAAUUCCAGGUGUAGCGGUGAAAUGCGUAGAGAUCUGGAGGAAUACCGGUGGCGAAGGCGGCCCCCUGGACGAAGACUGACGCUCAGGUGCGAAAGCGUGGGGAGCAAACAGGAUUAGAUACCCUGGUAGUCCACGCCGUAAACGAUGUCGACUUGGAGGUUGUGCCCUUGAGGCGUGGCUUCCGGAGCUAACGCGUUAAGUCGACCGCCUGGGGAGUACGGCCGCAAGGUUAAAACUCAAAUGAAUUGACGGGGGCCCGCACAAGCGGUGGAGCAUGUGGUUUAAUUCGAUGCAACGCGAAGAACCUUACCUGGUCUUGACAUCCACGGAAGUUUUCAGAGAUGAGAAUGUGCCUUCGGGAACCGUGAGACAGGUGCUGCAUGGCUGUCGUCAGCUCGUGUUGUGAAAUGUUGGGUUAAGUCCCGCAACGAGCGCAACCCUUAUCCUUUGUUGCCAGCGGUCCGGCCGGGAACUCAAAGGAGACUGCCAGUGAUAAACUGGAGGAAGGUGGGGAUGACGUCAAGUCAUCAUGGCCCUUACGACCAGGGCUACACACGUGCUACAAUGGCGCAUACAAAGAGAAGCGACCUCGCGAGAGCAAGCGGACCUCAUAAAGUGCGUCGUAGUCCGGAUUGGAGUCUGCAACUCGACUCCAUGAAGUCGGAAUCGCUAGUAAUCGUGGAUCAGAAUGCCACGGUGAAUACGUUCCCGGGCCUUGUACACACCGCCCGUCACACCAUGGGAGUGGGUUGCAAAAGAAGUAGGUAGCUUAACCUUCGGGAGGGCGCUUACCACUUUGUGAUUCAUGACUGGGGUGAAGUCGUAACAAGGUA
Molecule: ribosomal RNA, 1498 nt
Filed under: metagenome
Description: bacterial SSU rRNA
Rfam family: Bacterial small subunit ribosomal RNA
Source: RNAcentral